CAAUAGCGUAUAUUAAAGUUGUUGCAGUUAAAAAGCUCGUAGUUGGAUUUCUGGUGGGAGCGAUCGGUCUGGCGCUUAGCGCGAGUACUUGCAUCGUCUCCGGCCAUCCUUGGGGAGAGUCUGUCUGGCAUUAGGUUGUCGGGCAGAGGAUCCUCAUCGUUUACUGUGAAAAAAUUAGAGUGUUCAAAGCAGGCUUAUGCCGUUGAAUACAUUAGCAUGGAAUAAUAAGAUAAGACUUUGGUGGUCUAUUUUGUUGGUUUGCACGCCAAAGUAAUGAUUAAUAGGGAUAGUUGGGGGUAUUCGUAUUCUAUUGCUAGAGGUGAAAUUCUUAAAUUUAUGGAAGACGAACUACUGCGAAAGCAUUUACCAAGGAUGUUUUCAUUAA
RNAcentral lists this ribosomal RNA (385 nucleotides) under uncultured eukaryote. Its description in RNAcentral is "partial 18S ribosomal RNA". It matches the Rfam family "Eukaryotic small subunit ribosomal RNA", at positions 592 to 976 of the family's 1831-position model. The record is from RNAcentral.